UACGGGGGGGGCAAGCGUUGUUCGGAAUUACUGGGCGUAAAGGGUUCGUAGGUGGCCAACUAAGUCAUACGUGAAAUCCCUCAGCUUAACUGGGGAACUGCGUCUGAUACUGGUUGGCUUGAGUGCAGGAGAGGAAAGCAGAAUUCCUGGUGUAGAGGUGAAAUUCGUAGAUAUCAGGAGGAACACCGGUGGCGAAGGCGGCUUUCUGGACACUAACUGACGCUGAGACGCGAAAGCGUGGGGAGCAAACAGG
RNAcentral lists this ribosomal RNA (253 nucleotides) under uncultured bacterium. RNAcentral's name for it is "partial 16S ribosomal RNA". It matches the Rfam family "Bacterial small subunit ribosomal RNA", at positions 524 to 776 of the family's 1533-position model. The record is from RNAcentral.